RNAcentral lists this small RNA (28 nucleotides) under Bombyx mori (domestic silkworm). RNAcentral describes it as "ovarian small RNA-30356". Lineage: Eukaryota; Metazoa; Arthropoda; Insecta; Lepidoptera; Bombycidae. The record is from RNAcentral.
UGAAAAGUGAAUAUGGUGUCAAUUGUCC